This 70-nucleotide transfer RNA is filed under the name Apaloderma vittatum (bar-tailed trogon). It matches the Rfam family "tRNA". From Rfam's summary of the family: Transfer RNA (tRNA) molecules are approximately 80 nucleotides in length. Their secondary structure includes four short double-helical elements and three loops (D, anti-codon, and T loops). The record is from Rfam by way of RNAcentral. Lineage: Eukaryota; Metazoa; Chordata; Aves; Trogoniformes; Trogonidae.
CCUCGGUUAGCUCAGUUGGUUGAGCAUGGUGCUAACGACACCAAGGCCGCGGGUUCGAUUCCCAUGAGGU